AAUAUUGCACAAUGGGGGAAACCCUGACGUAGUGACGCCUCGAGAGCGAAGAUGGNCANNGGUUCNUNAAGCAUAUCUUUAAGNNNNNAAACGGACGGACCAUCAGCAGGCAGAUCCGGUAAACUACGUGCCAGCAGCUGCGGUAAUACGUAGGGGGCGAGCGUUGUCCGGAAUUAUUGGGCGUAAAGGGCGCGUAGGCGCCCUUUUAAGUCAGAUGUGAAAGGCUACGGCUUAACCUUAGUUAGCAUUUGAAACUAAAAGGCUUGAGUGCAGGAGAGGAGAGUGGAAUUCCUAGUGUAGCGGUGAAAUGCGUAGAUAUUAGGAGGAACACCAGUGGCGAAGGCGACUCUCUGGACUGCAACUGACGCUGAGGCACGAAAGCGUGGGGAGCGAACAG
This 397-nucleotide ribosomal RNA is filed under the name uncultured bacterium. RNAcentral describes it as "partial 16S ribosomal RNA". It matches the Rfam family "Bacterial small subunit ribosomal RNA", at positions 360 to 775 of the family's 1533-position model. The record is from RNAcentral.